GAUGAACGCUAGCGGCAGGCCUAAUACAUGCAAGUCAAGGGGCCAGUAAUGGCACCGGCGGACGGGUGCGUAACGCGUACACAACGUACCUUUGGGUGGGGGAUAGCAUCGGGAAACUGGUGGUAAUACCCCAUGGUAUUGGAGACUGGCAUCAGUUUUCAAUUAAAGACCACGCCCAAAGAUCGGUGUGCGUCUGAUUAGCUAGUUGGUAGGGUAACGGCCUACCAAGGCGACGAUCAGUAGGGGAUGUGAGAGCAUGAUCCCCCACACGGGUACUGAGACACGGACCCGACUCCUACGGGAGGCAGCAGUAAGGAAUAUUGGACAAUGGUCGGAAGACUGAUCCAGCCAUGCCGCGUGAAGGAUGAAGGCGCUCAGCGUUGUAAACUUCUUUUGUACGGGACAAAAUGCGACCUGCGGGUUGUACUGAGGGUACCGUAAGAAUAAGCACCGGCUAACUCCGUG
Molecule: ribosomal RNA, 465 nt
Filed under: uncultured bacterium
Lineage: Bacteria
Description: bacterial SSU rRNA
Rfam family: Bacterial small subunit ribosomal RNA
Source: RNAcentral